UACGUAGGGCGCAAGCGUUGUCCGGAAUUAUUGGGCGUAAAGAGCUCGUAGGCGGCCUGUUGCGUCCGCUGUGAAAUCCCGGGGCUCAACCCCGGGCCUGCAGUGGAUACGGGCUGGCUAGAGGCAGGCAGGGGAGAACGGAAUUCCUGGUGUAGCGGUGAAAUGCGUAGAUAUCAGGAGGAACACCUGUGGUGUAGACAGCUUACUGGACCAUUUCUGACGCUGAGACACGAAAGCGUGGGUAGCAAACAGG
Molecule: ribosomal RNA, 253 nt
Filed under: uncultured bacterium
Lineage: Bacteria
Description: partial 16S ribosomal RNA
Rfam family: Bacterial small subunit ribosomal RNA
Source: RNAcentral